UGGGGAAUUUUGGACAAUGGGGGAAACCCUGAUCCAGCCAUCCCGCGUGUGCGAUGAAGGCCUUCGGGUUGUAAAGCACUUUUGGCAGGAAAGAAACGUCAUGGGUUAAUACCCCGUGAAACUGACGGUACCUGCAGAAUAAGCACCGGCUAACUACGUGCCAGCAGCCGCGGUAAUACGUAGGGUGCAAGCGUUAAUCGGAAUUACUGGGCGUAAAGCGUGCGCAGGCGGUUCGGAAAGAAAGAUGUGAAAUCCCAGAGCUCAACUUUGGAACUGCAUUUGUAACUACCGGGCUAGAGUGUGUCAGAGGGAGGUGGAAUUACGCGUGUAGCAGUGAAAUGCGUAGAUAUGCGGAGGAACACCGAUGGCGAAGGCAGCCUCCUGGGAUAACACUGACGCUCAUGCACGAAAGCGUGGGGAGCAAACAGG
This 429-nucleotide ribosomal RNA is filed under the name Acidobacteriota bacterium. Its description in RNAcentral is "Acidobacteria bacterium partial 16S ribosomal RNA". It matches the Rfam family "Bacterial small subunit ribosomal RNA", at positions 355 to 776 of the family's 1533-position model. The record is from RNAcentral. Lineage: Bacteria; Pseudomonadati; Acidobacteriota.